Molecule: ribosomal RNA, 354 nt
Filed under: uncultured bacterium
Lineage: Bacteria
Description: bacterial SSU rRNA
Rfam family: Bacterial small subunit ribosomal RNA
Source: RNAcentral
AACGAACGCUGGCGGCAGGCUUAACACAUGCAAGUCGAACGCUCGUAGCAAUACGGGAGUGGCAGACGGGUGAGUAACACGUGGGAACGUCCCCCUCGGUUCGGAAUAACUCAGGGAAACUUGAGCUAAUACCGGAUACGUCCGAGAGGAGAAAGAUUUAUCGCCGAGGGAUCGGCCCGCGUCUGAUUAGCUAGUUGGUGAGGUAACGGCCCACCAAGGCGACGAUCAGUAGCUGGCUGAGAGGAUGACCAGCCACACUGGGACUGAGACACGGCCCAGACUCCUACGGGAGGCAGCAGUGGGGAAUCUUGGACAAUGGGCGAAAGCCUGAUCCAGCCAUGCCGCGUGAGUGAU